RNAcentral lists this long non-coding RNA (1259 nucleotides) under Homo sapiens (human). RNAcentral's name for it is "long intergenic non-protein coding RNA 2020". Lineage: Eukaryota; Metazoa; Chordata; Mammalia; Primates; Hominidae. The record is from RNAcentral.
AUGGUAACCACUAGCCACUUGUGACUACUGAGUGUCUGAAAGAGAUGGGCUCUCACUAUAGCCCUGUUCUGGAACUCCUGGGCUCAAGCCAUCCUCCCACUUUGGCCUCCCCAAAAUGCUGGGAUUACAGGCGUGAACCACCGCAUCUAGCCUAAAAUUAUAUUGUUAAAAGACUUUGUUUCUCAGUUUGGGAUAAUCAGAAUUCAUAGUUCUGAUCUCGACUACCAGUUUUAAUGAGGUACUUCUUUCUAACUCCAUCAGCUGUGUGGCUAUCUGCAGAUACCACCCACAUAAACAAAAACUUUUUGGGAGUCCUCCAGAAUUUUUAAGAGUUAUCUAAACUAUUGCCUUUAAUGACCAGGAACUCCAAUUUGAGAAGUUACCCUACGUUAAGCCAACAGCAGCCUGGCUCCUUCAUCCUGUGCAGUAUGGGACAGAGCUGGGUCCUUGUUGUCAUCAGCCAGACAAGCACACAUUAAAGCCCACCUUAGCCAUUGGCAUUACAGCUUUAAAAGCAGCUCCAUCCUACCAUGCUGUCACUCUACUCAAUCACGUGAUCUUAACGACCAGCUCUACAUAUCCUCUCUCCAUGCCCCCACCACCAUCCCCCACCAACAAAUCCGGUAAUCUAUCUCUGUCAAUAGUCCUGCAGUGAAUUCCGAAUAAGUUUUUCUCUUCCCUGGCCUGCCGUUUACGUAGUACCCUGGAUGAAUCUAUACUUACUCCAUAGUAAGUAGUACCUUGGAUGAAUCUAUACUUGCAUCCAAUGGAAAUGAGAGUGAUGGUGCAGAGUUAUCCGAAGUAACUCCAGCUAUGUUGUGGAUCUUCUAAUCAUGGGCUCAUCUAAGCCUUCCCAGAUAUCACUCUAGUUUUUACAAUCUUUGUUUAUGACAAUUAGGGCUGUAACAUUGGCUGUAGACAUUUGUUGCAUCAAGGAACUCAGCUUCCACUGAAGUUCUGAAGUUAAUCAGUUUCUGAUCUUGUUCUGCAACUCUCUGCAAGAAGAAAAAUCACCAGGAAAUAGUGCAUCCUGAAAGGAGUCAAAGUUUCCUUAUCCAGCUGGAGCAGUGUGAUCUCGGACCAGAGUCAAUUCCUUGCCCAACAGACUUCACAUUGAGCCAUGAGAAGCAGCCUACUUACCCUUACCUGGACACUUCUCCAAAACCUGUGAAAUGGCCUCUGUCACUGCCUCAAAGCCUCAUCCUUGGUGGGCAACUCACCUGGAUCCUGAGACCAAAAUAUAGAGCUUAAUGAACUGC